UACUGAUAGCGUGAAAUGGUUCGAUGGAGCCGGGCGAGACGACAAAGGUGGAACCCGUCGACUAAGGACGGACUGAGACUAUAACGGUUCUUUAAUUAUUCGUCAUUAUUUUCACACUCCUAUGAGACCUUCGCUGAAGCGCAAUCUCUAUCGGAGGCGUAUGCCGCUAAAGCGCAAUCUCGAUUUCUCUCUCGGACAAUCUGCAGAGCUAGAAGAGAGCGUGGACCUCCUCGCGCCAUCGCCUGUAUCGCGAUGCCCGACCGCGCGGGAUACUUAGGCAGCGCGCGCCCUGACAUCACCCCAUACACACACAAACCCCGAGGACACGGCUUGAGAUAGUCGCCGGUUCCGAGGACUGUGAGGUCGAAAACUGACCCAGCUCGAAGGGCGUACCCAAAGCCCAACAGGAGGGGUGACGGUGCCAGCGACUGCCAACAACAACAGUCUUCCUACCUCUGCAGGAUCCAGGGAAGCCGAACCAUCCACGUCGCCGCCUGAGUCCAGAGACAUAAUUGAUUGGUAAUAGCAGACUCUCAGCAUAUGUGAGUAUUUACCUUGAUGGACGAGCAUCUCAUCCCAGGUUGGUUCAUGUACUGUCUUCAUUAUUUCCAGGAUCUGUACAAGAUCUCCUGCCUCAGUAAUGUACAAAAUGUUUCAGAAAUAAUAAAAUUAAGUUAAUUGUCAUUUUCAUUUACUACUAUUAGUUUAUUUUAGGUCCACACAUUAUGUUAUUAGUGUGUUUGUGGGGAUGUUAAGACAGUUGUACAACUUUAUCUUUUAUUUUUUUGGAAGAGGAUUUGGUAUGAUAGUCAAGAGAGGUAUAAAUAUUGCUCAACUGUGAUAUCAUCUGGAAGUAGUCUGCUAAUCAUUAAUAAACUGCAGAAAGUGUGGUUUAGUAGCUAAGGAAGUUAAGUUCAGCAGGCUGAAAUCUCACCUCCUCCUUAAUGAUGCUAAAUAAAUCAUUUUACCUUCCCCAAAGUGUACCUAGGUUAAAAAAAAAUCAUACCCUACAUGUAUGAGGCUUUUUACAUGUUCACCAUGAAGGAUACUAAAGAAUUCUUUACUUAAUGUAUUUUUUUCAAUACUAAAGACAUUUGCUAUAUAUAUUUAAUCUUGGUUUCUUGUAUUUUAUGCAUUUAUUAAAGGUUUAUACACAAAUGUAAAUAUACAUAUGUGUUGCCUGUUCUGCACAUACAUGCAUGUUUUCUUAGAUCUUGUUUUGAACGUAAUUAAAAACUUUUCUACAUAUCCACUCCUGUAUAGUUUUGUUGGUGUCUGGUAGGCUUUUAGUGGCACACAAGGCCUGUUAAGAGAGGAAAAUUUUAACGGGAAUGUAGAAAUUUAGCUGCAUCUUACCCCAACUGGCAUUUCAGAUAAAAUGGCUAAACUGUAGCUGUACCAAACUUUGGUCAGGUCUGUACUUCCAUCUGAUAACAAUGGUGUAAAUCAGAGUCGAGUAGACAACUUUGCAGAAGCUCAAUCAAACAAAAAGGCACCCAAAUGGACUUUUAUCUUUGGCAUUUGACCACAAACUGAAUCUGCAUGAAUAUGAUGGGCAUAAUAACAUUCCUAUGAGCAGGAACUGGUUCUGUAACUGGAAGUGACAUUGACUCAAUCACCAGAGGUUACACCUUUCUUCAAAACUAACUGCACUCAUUACUUUUGGCUCUUUGGAACCAAAAAGCUGAUGGGGAGAUGGAAGCCGACAAGUACAGUACCAGAAAGACUCCUGCUUUUCCAUAUGAAGCUGCGGAGGAACACUGCAAAGAGCUUAACAGUGAGUUGAGAAAGGCAGCAUUGCAGCAAACCGAAAACAAAACAGCAUGUAGCACUGAGAAAUGCUAAUAGAAACGUCCUCCACUUGAACCUGGAGCAAAAAUUCCACACAAUAUUGGAUAUCAUCCUUAAAGACUUGAUAUUGUAAAACUGCAUCUGUGGCAAGAUAAAUUAGAACUUUUAAAGGCAUGUAAACUAUAACCUCCUUUGUAUUUCGAUAUAUAUGCUGUUAUGUUUUCAUAAUUGUGUUUUUCUAUAAAUUGUAUUCUGUUUCUUAAAAUGUUUGCUUCAGUUAACUUGAUACAAGUGUAACGGCACUCUCAUACAGAAAAAUUUAAGGAAAUUAAACAGAAUCCUUACCAAAUUAAUUAAUUAUUGACAUUGCCACAGGCAAAGCUGAUAAUUAACUGAGUUAAAAUUUUCUUCUCUCUCUACAUUGGGUUUCCAAAAAUUAAUACAAGGGGAAUUAAAAGCACUUUAUACGUAUUUUACUCUGGUUAAAAAAAAAA
Polypterus senegalus (gray bichir) is the source of this 2285-nucleotide long non-coding RNA. RefSeq lists it as uncharacterized. The record is from RefSeq and is a predicted model, not a curated record. NCBI's taxonomy places the organism in Eukaryota, Metazoa, Chordata, Cladistia, Polypteriformes, Polypteridae. The transcript has 2 exons.